CUGCAGUCGCACGAGAAAGGGCUUCGGCCCCGGUAAAGUGGCGCACGGGUGAGUAACACGUGGGUAAUCUGCCUUCGAGCGGGGGAUAACAUUCCGAAAGGAGUGCUAAUACCGCAUAAGACCACAAGCUUCGCAAGAAGCAGCGGUCAAAGCUGGCCUCUGUAUACACGCUAGCACUUGAAGAUGAGCCCGCGGCCCAUCAUGGUAGUUGGUAGGGUAAUGGCCUACCAAGCCGAAGACGGGUAACUGGUCUGAGAGGAUGAUCAGUCACACUGGAACUGAGACACGGUCCAGACUCCUACGGGAGGCAGCAGUGGGGAAUCUUGCGCAAUGGGCGAAAGCCUGACGCAGCGACGCCGCGUGAGUGAUGAAGGCCUUCGGGUUGUAAAGCUCUGUGGGGAGAGACGAAUAAGUGCAGGCUAAUACCCUGCAUGAUGACGGUAUCUCCUUAGCAAGCACCGGCUAACUCUGUGCCAGCAGCCGCGGUAAGACAGAGGGUGCAAACGUUGUUCGGAAUUACUGGGCGUAAAGCGAGUGUAGGCGGUCUUGUAAGUCGGAUGUGAAAGCCCCGGGCUCAACCCGGGAAGUGCACUCGAUACUGCGAGGCUAGAGUACUGGAGAGGUUGGUGGAAUUCUCGGUGUAGAGGUGAAAUUCGUAGAUAUCGAGAGGAACACCGGUGGCGAAGGCGGCCAACUGGACAGAUACUGACGCUGAGACUCGAAAGCGUGGGGAGCAAACAGGAUUAGAUACCCUGGUAGUCCACGCCGUAAACGAUGGGUGCUAGGUGUCGCGGGCUUUGACUCCUGCGGUGCCGUAGCUAACGCAUUAAGCACCCCGCCUGGGAAGUGCG
Molecule: ribosomal RNA, 851 nt
Filed under: uncultured bacterium
Lineage: Bacteria
Description: bacterial SSU rRNA
Rfam family: Bacterial small subunit ribosomal RNA
Source: RNAcentral